Arachis ipaensis is the source of this 126-nucleotide non-coding RNA. Lineage: Eukaryota; Viridiplantae; Streptophyta; Magnoliopsida; Fabales; Fabaceae. The record is from RefSeq and is a predicted model, not a curated record.
UGCUAUUUUUAAUAUUUAAGCAAGGUUCUGAAAACCGAACCGGUCAUCAAACCGCUCUAACUACUGAUUUACUGGUUUAUAAGUUCAACCGGUUUGAUCGUGGUUGAAUCGAAAAAACCAUUUUAU